GGCCUUGACAUACUAAGAACUUUCCAGAGAUGGAUUGGUGCCUUCGGGAACUUAGAUACAGGUGCUGCAUGGCUGUCGUCAGCUCGUGUCGUGAGAUGUUGGGUUAACGUCCGCAACGAGCGCAACCUUUCCUUAUUUGCCAGCGGGUAAUGCCGGGAACUUUAAGGAUACUGCCAGUGACAAACUGGAGGAAGGCGGGGACGACGUCAAGUCAUCAUGGCCCUUACGGCCAGGGCUACACACGUGCUACAAUGGUCGGUACAAAGGGUUGCUACCUCGCGAGAGGAUGCUAAUCUCAAAAAGCCGAUCGUAGUCCGGAUCGCAGUCUGCAACUCGACUGCGUGAAGUCGGAAUCGCUAGUAAUCGCGGAUCAGAAUGCCGCGGUGAAUACGUUCCCGGGCCUUGUACACACCGCCCGUCACACCAUGGGAGUUUGUUGCACCAGAAGUAGGUAGUCUAACCGCAAGGAGGACGCUUACCACGGUGUGGCCGAUGACUGGGGUGAAGUCGUAACAAGGUAAGCGUAGAUGA
RNAcentral lists this ribosomal RNA (531 nucleotides) under uncultured bacterium. RNAcentral's name for it is "bacterial SSU rRNA". It matches the Rfam family "Bacterial small subunit ribosomal RNA", at positions 977 to 1509 of the family's 1533-position model. The record is from RNAcentral.